Molecule: ribosomal RNA, 253 nt
Filed under: uncultured bacterium
Lineage: Bacteria
Description: partial 16S ribosomal RNA
Rfam family: Bacterial small subunit ribosomal RNA
Source: RNAcentral
GACGAAGGAUGCAAGCGUUAUCCGGAUUCAUUGGGUUUAAAGGGAGCGUAGGUGGCCUGCUAAGUCAGUGGUGAAAUCUUCUCGCUUAACGAGAAAACUGCCAUUGAUACUGGUGGGCUUGAGUACAGAUGCCGUUGGCGGAAUAUGACAUGUAGUGGUGAAAUACAUAGAGAUGUCAUAGAACACCGAUUGCGAAGGCAGCUAACGAAACUGUAACUGACACUGAGGCUCGAAAGUGCGGGGAUCAAACAGG